CGGCUUACUCUCUCACUCGCACACAUGCUCUCUCUGCUGCCUUCGUUCGCCACUCCAGCUCUAACUCGACACUUGGAGACGGAUGCGAGGACCAGAAGAACUAAAGAUGCCGAGUUAAGUUUUGUCUACCUCUAACUCCUUGUCUGCGUCCCAAUCUACUUAUCUUCUUGUCACCUCCUCUUUACCGGUCUGUCCUUAGACUCUCGGCGCCUUCACUCAAACACCUGUGCAAGAGAAAAACACAGACGUGGAUUAUACCACUCUCUCCUGUACAUCCUCUCCAGGCAGCACUGCCAGUACCUUGCGCACCACAACUCCAGACAUGAGGGCCACGCCUUGACUUUGUGUGUUGUGUAGGUUAGUUUCAGGUCAGUGACUCGCCGCCUUGAUCCACUUCCAAGGAAUCUCCUGUGAGUGCAUUAAGAGAUUGUUGAAGGAAAGACGGAUGCAUGAGGCUUUAAGGAGAAGACGAUCCAACUAGAAGGAGCUAUUUUUUGUUUCACUCGGACAAACUUAAACUCAUGUGUGCAUGUGUAUCAAUCCACCCCUCCCUCUCCCGUUCCCACUUCCCCAUCCAGGUGUGCCGAACCCAUGCUACCGGACCCUGAUGGUGUGUGUACCUGAGCCAGCUGUGGAGGGUGAGCGACAGACCGACAUCUCAGAAGGAAACAAACGCUGCAAACAAAGAUGGAGGACCAUCACUAGAGGAGCACUGAAUCAACCUCUAUACCCUCAAAAAUGGACAUUAUCAGAUUAAUCUUCCUCCUGUGUUAGCUUUUACUACGCACCCACUAUGUUAAGGGUCGGUUUUGACCCGUGUCUUAAAUCAGCUGUAAAUGACACUAAAAACAAUCCUCUAUAGUCCAAUUUGGUUCACAUCUCUAGGUUUCCUUGUUAGGCUUCAUUAUCCAUGAAAAUAUUGUAAUAUUUUUCGUUGUAGGCCUCUGAGCCUUUCUUUGUCAGUAUACCCCUCACACAGACGUCUAUCCUGAAUUGAUCUCACAUGUCUGGACAUGUCCCACAUUGUUUUUUGUGUAGGGAAUUACAUGGAAAAAUGAGAAUUUCCUAAAUCUCACAUGAUUGGAAGAGGAUCUAACUGUCAGUGUAGUGCCUGAUAGUGCACUUAUGAUUUCAGCUUUUGCUCUAAUUAUUAUAUAUUGAUCUAACCAGGUCAACAGCGACCCAUUUUAUAAUUUAGUCAAUUUAAUUUUUUUAUUUCUAUUUUGUUGAAAUAGAAGUUCCUGACAAAGUCAAAAAGUCUUGAUGCAAAUAAAGUAAUUUAUGUGGUUCUUUUAAGCAUUUAAAAACAAAACCAGGUCGGUUUUGCAGACCCUAACACAGGAGGAGGGUUAAAGUCAUUUUUGUCAGGGAACUUGAGUGAAAAGAGUUUACUUGGAUAUUGGGGAAAGAGUGUUGCUGCUUCAGGAGUGACCCUGUUAACAGGCUACAGCUGCAGCUACAGCAUAUGGUCUCCAACUCAAACAUAUUACAUUCAAAUGCAGUUGCCAUGGUUCCCUGUAUACAAACACAGAGGGAACAUGGCUGGACUGUAAACUAGGUGAGGAUGUCAAGUAUAAUGUUCUCGUUUGAAAUAAUGACCCUCCAUGACCCCUAUUCUUUUCUUUUAAUCAGAUAUGAACCUGCGAAGAGACAAAAACUGUUCCAGCAACUGAAAAACUGGAGCACAAAAGUAGCCCACAACAGAUCAUUUUAGCUUUGAGCAAAGAGACUCUGACUGUAAUCAUUUCAUUUAGGCUGAAGAAGUCUGGUUAGUGUGACAUUCGCUGCUAUUUAAGGUGAGAAGACCCAAGAAAAGACACUAACGGCAGAGAAAAGGCAGGAAGACACCGCACCUUAAGGCUACAACAGAGAGCUGUACCAUAUUGAAUACACAUGAAGUAAACACAGCAGCUUGUGAGGAAAAGAAAAUGUCAGACUUGCAGUGAUAAGGCAGAAAAUGUACGUAGGUUCUGUGCUGAUCUUAAUGAAAUGUACAGUUUUAUAUGAAUAAUAACAGCUGUGGAGAAGGUUAUCUGAUGUGGACCCAGCUCAACCAAUGAGUGAAGUAAAGUCGAUUAUUUACAGCAAGAGAAAUAUAAUAUUUUCUUUUAAAACAAGACCAAUCUUUUCCAAAUCAACACUUGGCAUAAAAUAAUUAAUUAUAUAUUUAUUUCGAAGUGAGCAGCUGUGUCCUUGGCAGGAUAAUACAGCGAGCGAGCUGUUUGAAUGAGCAGCACCGCUCCUUAUCAGAGUUCAGAGUCAGUCAUCUUGCAUUCACACAGAUAUCCCAGCUCUGGCUUUAAGGGACUUAAAUAACACGCUGCCUGGCCGAGACAUACAUUAUGCCGUCAGAGCAAUCAUAAACAAUAUUUUUCUGCAGAUGGGAUCUGCACUGUGAGCAGUAAAAGCGAGGCCUUACACAAGCACUGUACUGCAGCUGAAGAUAAGGUAGUGGCGACUAUUGUAGAGUGGCUUUGUACUGUAGAGCAGUUUCAUAAUAAAUUCAACCUGAACACGUUUGUGUCUUUUCUUCUGUUUUAAACCUGCGAGCUGGUUUAGACCUGCAUCACUCCAUUAUUUUGGGCGAUUGCUGGAAAACUGCAGCUGACCUUUGUGUGUAAUGGUGAGUAGGUAUCCAUGGAAG
Molecule: long non-coding RNA, 2644 nt
Filed under: Xyrichtys novacula (pearly razorfish)
Lineage: Eukaryota; Metazoa; Chordata; Actinopteri; Labriformes; Labridae
Source: RNAcentral